RNAcentral lists this ribosomal RNA (366 nucleotides) under uncultured bacterium. RNAcentral's name for it is "bacterial SSU rRNA". It matches the Rfam family "Bacterial small subunit ribosomal RNA", at positions 28 to 396 of the family's 1533-position model. The record is from RNAcentral.
GACGAACGCUGGCGGCGUGCUUAACACAUGCAAGUCGAGCGGUAAGGCCCUUUCGGGGGUACACGAGCGGUGAACGGGUGAGUAACACGUGGGUGACCUGCCCUCAGCUCUGGGAUAAGCCUGGGAAACCGGGUCUAAUACUGGAUAUGACUCCAUGACGCAUGUUGUGGGGUGGAAAGCCUUGUGCGGCUGAGGAUGGGCCCGCGGCCUAUCAGCUUGUUGGUGGGGUGAGGCCUACCAAGGCGACGACGGGUAGCCGGCCUGAGAGGGCGACCGGCCACACUGGGACUGAGACACGGCCCAGACUCCUACGGGAGGCAGCAGUGGGGAAUCUUGCGCAAUGGGCGAAAGCCUGACGCAGCGACG